GGUGGUUCUCGGGUGAUGCACCCCAAAAUCAGGCUUCCUCCUCUCUGGUUCCUAAUGUAUCACUCGAGAACCACA
Molecule: non-coding RNA, 75 nt
Organism: Myotis brandtii (Brandt's bat)
Lineage: Eukaryota; Metazoa; Chordata; Mammalia; Chiroptera; Vespertilionidae
Source: Rfam